CUUUCUUUGCUGGCGACCGGCGCACGGGUGAGUAACACGUAUUCAACCUGCCCUUUACUCGGGGAUAGCCUUUCGAAAGAAAGAUUAAUACCCGAUAGCAUAAUGAUUCCGCAUGGUUUCAUUAUUAAAGGAUUCCGGUAAAGGAUGGGGAUGCGUUCCAUUAGGUUGUUGGUGAGGUAACGGCCCACCAAGCCUUCGAUGGAUAGGGGUUCUGAGAGGAAGGUCCCCCACAUUGGAACUGAGACACGGUCCAA
Molecule: ribosomal RNA, 254 nt
Filed under: uncultured bacterium
Lineage: Bacteria
Description: partial 16S ribosomal RNA
Rfam family: Bacterial small subunit ribosomal RNA
Source: RNAcentral